CUUGCUCAUUUUAUAAAAGUUGAUGAAAAUUGUGUGUUUAGUGAACUUAAUCAUAAUAUUAUUAUUAUUUUUUAUAUUUUCUUGUACUAUGUACAAUUUUUAUACUUAAUUAAUUUGUGUGAAGUGAAAAUAAUUCCUUUUGAAUGGCAAACAGGAGCCUCCUGAUAGUAUUAUACAUUAACUGUAGAGACCAUGUAAUUUGAAUCUCAUCAUAUCAGGGGAUAAUUCUAAGCCUUAUCUGUUUACAAAAAUUGAGGUGUUUCAUCAUGCAAUGAUGUUUACACAUAGAGAUAAAAAAAAACAACACGAAAAUCUCAUUGCAGUAGAAAUAUUGUUUAUUGUUUGAAAGUUUAGUGUAUUUAAAAUUAAAAUUGGUCAGGAGAAAUGUUUCUGUUUCCUUCUGAGGGAGAUUAGUACAUUACAUUUCUUGAGAGUGUUGAAAAUAUGUAUUAUUUUAUGGUUCUUUGGACACCCUAGUUGCCAACUUAUAAGAAUGGAUUAGUAGGUACAAUAGGUUACUGAAAUUUAAGAUUACUGGUGAACAAGGAUAGAAGGUCUGUAGUUACAAUGUACCUCCUGUGCUAGUAAAUCAGAACAUGUAGCUGCUAUAUGGUAACUAGGAUUUACAACCUGUAGAUGUCCUAGUUGCUACACUAUAAGGUUGAUAGCUACAAGCAUUCCAUUUUGUAAUUCCAAACUCUAUACAUACCUCAGUUAUUUUAAAGUAACACCUGCCACAAAGAACUUAUAGUACAUACAUCAGUAAGUGCUAUGUUUAAUAACUUGUGUGUAUGUUUAUAUUUCAGUAGCUGUUAAGGUUUUUAUGGUAUUUUGGCUGCCAGACUUUAAGGUUUGUAGUAUUUGUACUAAUUGUUCAAGGUUAUGUCGAUAGAUGUCAGGAGUGCCCAUACUACAAUAUCUGAUACGGUAUAUGGCUAGGUUCCAAUUUUGCAGACACCCAGGAUGAACAGUCAAGGUCUAGGAUCUGUAAUUAUACUAGAUGUAGAUAUCAGGAUUUCACUUAUUUAUGUAAAUGGCAGUAACUGCAAAGGCUUAGAAUCUAUUUUUAGGUUAGACCUGAAUGUUAAGCAGAGUGCACAGUAUAAAAAUUGUCAAGGCUGGAUGUGGAAAAUUGACAUUAUGAAAACAUAAUAGAGAGCAUGUAAUUGCUGAUGUCUAAUGUCUGUUGUUAGAUUAGAUGUGAGAAAUUAGUAUUGUACAAAAACACUACGCAUGUUCACUGCUAAUAUCCAAGGUGUAUGAGUAAAAUAGAUGUGAAGAAUUAACAUUGCGUAAACAUACUUUAUAUAAUAGCUGUUAAGGCCUAACAACUGGUGUAAGCUUAGGUGUGGACUGUGAAGAAUAGACAUUGUGUAAAGACACUAAGUACAGUAGCAGUUAAUAUAGGCUAACAUUUGUUGUGAGAUUAGAUGUGAAGAAUGGACAUUGUGUAAGGAUAUUAAGUACAGUAGCAAUUAAUAUAGAUUAACAUUUGUUGUGAGAUUAGAUGUGAAGAAUGGACAUUGUGUAAAGAUAUUAAGUACAGUAACAAUUAAUAUAGGUUAACAUUUGUUGUGAGAUUAGGUGUGAAGAAUGGACAUUGUGUAAAGAUGCUAAAUACUGUAAAUGCCAAGCUAAGACCUGUUCUUGGACUAUACAUCUAGUUGGAAUUUCUGUUGUGUAAAAUACUAAUUACAGGAGCUGCUAAUAAGGUAGUUAGAAUAGAAAUGAGGAAUUAAGAUAUAUAAACAUGCCAAAUACAAUGUCUGCCAAAGUCAAAGGUUUAUUUUUAGAUGGCAGGGUCUAAGGUCUAUUUAGAAUAGUAAUUCCCAAGAUGUAACAUUUAUUGUUAAAAUAAAUAGGAUAAUUUAAGGAGUUCAGGAAUUACUGAGGUUUAAGUUCUGACAACACACUAAACACCAGGAUUUGUAUGCUCUGAAUACUAUCAGUUGUCAGAACGUGCAUGUGUACUAUAGUUACAUCUACAGAAUGAAAUCUAGAAUCAUACUGUUAACCAGUGUUUGUGUUUCAGAGCAGUAAUGACAAGGGUCUUCAGAGACACUUCAGUCACUACCUUCCAAUACUAACAAAUGUAGAGGAUAUAGUGAGUAAUCGAUUAAAGUUUAAGGUGUAAAGUCUAUGCAUGUAGGUUAAGUACUCUUUGUAUUUGUAAAUUACACAGCUAAAACAGGAUAUAAAUAUGUGAUUUUAGCUGUUUUGUUUACAGAUAAAUGUGAUUUUUCAGGGAACCUGUGUUAUUUUAUUAGAUAACUUGACAAUUUUUAAAGCCUGUAGAUACAUGCUUACUAGGAGUUGUUUCAGAGAUUAGAGGUUUUUUGCUAGAGGUUUCUGUAGACAUGUUGGUUGCCAAGAGUUUGUGUGAAGACAUAGUGGUUGUCAGACGUUUUUAUAGACAUACUGUUUUCCAAAGGUUUCUGUAGACGUGUUGGUUGCCAAGAGUUUCUGUAGACGUGUUGGUUGCGAAGAGUUUCUGUGAAGACAUAGUGGUUGACAGACGUUUUUAUAGACAUACUGUUUUCCAAAGGUUUCUGUAGACAUGUUGGUUGUCAAGAGUUUCUGUGAAGACAUAGUGGUUGACAGACGUUUUUAUAGACAUACUGUUUACGAAGGUUUCUGUAGUCAUAGUGACUGCUUGGAUGUGCUCGAAAAAUACAUUGAAUUUACCAAUUCUUUUAUAUUUUCUGUAACUAGAUUCAAUUUUAAUUAUUAACUGUUUUUAGGCAUAAAUAUGAAUACUUCCCUGAUGUAUGGAAUAGCCAUAUUUGUUGUAAGAACUGGUAAGGUUGUUUUAGUAGAUGACCAUGUUUCAAUAUAUUUGGGUGGUGUCAUAAAAAGUAGAGAUGUCCUUUUUUCUGGAUAUCCAUCUUGAGAUUGUAAACUUAUUUUAACAUGUACAUCAGCAACUAAAAUGAAAAAAAAAAAAUCAUACAGUUUGUUCUAUAGAAGUUUGUAAGGAACUAGACUGUAUAACCCAAAAUAUCUGUAACCUUCUUAUACUGUAUACACCUCAAGUAGGAAAAAAAUGCCUUUAUUGUCUUUGAAAAAAAAUUGAUUUCUCCUUAUGUAUAUACAUAAAAAAAUAUACACACAUAUAUUUAUGUGUGUGUGUGUGUAUAUGUAUGUAUAUAAAACAGAUUUUAAAAUUGUAUUCGUGGUUUUAAAGCAGUUACUGAGAAACGUUAAAUCACCCCCCCCCCCUCCCCAAGGAAAAAAAUAUAUGGGAGGCAUUAAUAAGAUAAUGAUAUAGUUAAGCAGAAAACAAUUCUAUUAAAUGUUUCUGUAUAUUUUUUCGUAAAUGUAUUACAAAAUGGUUGUAAUAAAAAGUAACGUAUAGUUUGGUUGCAACACCACUAGGAAUAAUAAUGUGGCAAAUAAAAUAAACAUACAUGUUUAAACAAAUUUCUUUUUAGUAAUGAAAGAUGAGGGAUUGUGACGUGAUUUUAUUUUUUGUUGAAAACUAAAUUUUUUCGUCCUGAUAAAACAGGGUACAAGAAUUAUGUGCUUUGGUGCCAAAGUAAAAAAUAAAAUGCGAAUUAUUUAAUGAAUUUAAUACAAUUAUUCCAGUUCAACCACUGGCAGCUGUCUAGAGAUUAAUCCUUAAGAGUUAACAUUCUUUGAAAAAAAAUCACCCAUUGAUUUGAACAGAUAAGUGAAAACAAUGUCCAUGUACUUACGUCAAUAGUGAAGAGAAUAAUGUUUUUCUCAAUAUAAAUCUCGUUUUUUUUUUUUUUCAUUUCUAGCUUGUUGUUAUCAACUUGUUAUUUUUGCAGCGUGUUUGUUUUGUCGGAGUAUUCCAGCAGUAAUGGUAGUCAGAUAACACUAGUUUGUCAGAGGUACAUCGCCUUAAUAUAUUGAAGGGAAGGCUAUAAUCAGAAAUUAUUUAUUUAUUAAGAAAAUGUUUGUGUUAAGUUGGAGUGUAUGUGACUUUCAAAGCUUUCCUUACUUCUUUUUAUUUAAUAGAUUAUUUUCGUAACGUAGUUACGCGAGCAAAAUUAAAUAAAUAUAUAUAUAUAAUAUAUAUAUACGUUAAGAGGCUAACCUACUUUAGAUUAAAAUGUGAUGGUUUGUUAAUUUGCCUUGACUAAUUAUGGACGCUAUGAAAUAAAGUCAGUGCAGAUAACUAACAGGUUUUUAAUAUAAGAAAUCACCUUGUGGAAUGGUAGACCACUAAAUGUUGCUGUGAGUCUAUGUAGGGCAGCACUAAAUAAAUAAAAGACCGAAAAACAACAAUAAAAAAACGAAUGAAGUUAUAACUUUCUUCACUGAAAAUAUUCAACAAUACAUGAUACACGUGGGUGAUGCAUAAGAGCCUAACUUAUUGGACUGGAAAAACGUUUUUUUUUCUUCUUUUUUUACUGGCUCAUUUUAACUUUGCACGUAUGUAACGGUUAUUGAUUCCAGAAAAGCGAGAUGCAUCCCAAGAAAUAACCAGUUAUGCCUAAAUUUAUCUCUCUGUCAAAACCUUGCACUGGCCUCUUACGUAAAACGUGAGUAAUGAAUGACCAGUGUUAGAAAAAUAAUACAUUUUUUUUUUCAGUUAUUCGUACAAUUAAUAUUAUUCUUCAUUUAAUUAUCAUUCUGUUUGAAGGUGUAAUGAUUAUACACGAAUUGUUUAAGAUUUUGUAAGCACGAAACAUAGAUAAGUAUCUUACUUUAACUUGGAAUAACCUAUUCUAACGGUAAGAAGUGAAGAUUUUAAUCUAAAAGAUCAGGAAUGGAAACGACAGUAAGUGUACAAACUUACAUUUGUCAUAAGAAUUGUUCUGUUUAUAAAAGUUUAAUGACAUAUUCAUCGAAAAAAACCUUAACUAUUUCUUCGUUUGUUUUACUUCUGGUAAAUUCUGUAUUAUCAGUGGAUAAUACUUACCUCCAUUAAUUUAUUCUCGAAUUGUCGUGUUUUUGUUGUUGUAUUUCAUUUACUUGUGUCCUUUAAAAAUAUAAUAUAAAUAUUUUCUUUAUUUCUGUGCUAAUUUCAGUGGCUUUAAAAAGAAUGUAUUGUUAUUAUUAUUAUUACAGUAUAUUACUGUCAUUUUCAAUACAAUUUAUACUUAUUUAGCACACAAAUAGAGUGCCAUGGCAGCGUUAUUUGAUGAUGUUACAGAGUAAAAGUGUUACCAUGAGUCAUUACAAGGUUGGGACAGAUAGUGAUGGUUCAUUGGUUAAUGUGUUAGUGACGUUUAGUGUGUCUGCUGGUAUUUUAUGGGUUUGUAAUGAAAAAUUGUCAUUUGUUGUGUAACAUCAAUUAUUGUGAGACAAUUUUAUGGUUCACAUUUGUGUAUUUAUGCAACGUAAUAAUCAUUAAUAAUAUACUCGUACAUCUAAAUAUCUAAUAAUUCGCAGUUGAGAAUUAUUUUUUUUGCUCGUAAUAAUCAUUUUUUAAAAUAAGACAAUUCGAUGUUAAUAAAAUUUACUAUGGAACUUUGGUGCGCAUGUUCUUGCCAUGAGAUAUAAUGCAAAGUUAAACUAUGGGAAGGUAUGAGAAACACUACUGUUAAUCUAAACUGUACUGAACAUGUUCUCAAAAUUAAUGUGGUUUUUUCUGUAUUUUGAAAUAAGUUACUUAACUUUUAGAAUUUCAUGCAAACCCUGCAAAUUAAACACUUAUAGACAACUUCCCAUUGUGUUAUGUACAUUUGUAAAGGAAAAUUAUAAGGUCAAAAGGUGCUUUCUCACAAACUUGGAUUAUUAUUAGUAAAUACAUGUUUCAAGAGAGAUUCUUUCCGGUAAUAUUAGUUUAGUUAUACUGAUAUAGCAGGAACUAUAGUUAUUUGUACUUAAUGGACAUGUUUCUAUUAUGCUAACCUAUGAGAAAACUGAUAUUUUAACUGUAGUAGCAAGGGGUUUAUAAAUUAUAGUCGUAAUGAACGGCUGUAUUUUAUCAACGAUAAUAUUCUCUGUUAUAUAUCAAACCUGUUGCCAUCUGUUGAGCAUUUUAGAAAAUAUAAUAUAUGGAAAGCUAUGUAACAUUUCUGCAUUACCACGAAAACUUGAUAUGAACUAAGCUACCUUUAAUUUCAAUAUAUAAAUUAGAAAUAGCGUUUCUAAAGCUGACAACAGAUGGCGGUAUAUGUAGCGGUUCAUUGCGAGUCCCCAAACUGGUCUUCGAUAAACGAGAGUUAAAAACGAUGAUUCAAAGUACAGGUAAAAGAAUGUUUUAAAAUGGAUAUGCUUGAUCGAAUUAGUAAAAUGUAAUACAAUAAACAAAUACUAGUAUUAUGUAUUAUCAUGUAUAAUGUUUUCCAAGUAUAUGUCUAUGUAUUUAUCAUGUACUUAAAACUACAAGUUUGUAAAUGACUGUACAUAAUAUUGUGUCUUAUGAAGUGUAAUGAUAUUUAAUGUGUGAUUGUGAUUUAAUUAUUUAUAUUGUUGAAGCUAAAAUAGCAUCUUGAAAAGUUCUUAGAGUUUUAAAGUAUUAACGUGUGUUGUAAAAAGAUUUUUAACUGUUUUCUUCGUAUGCAGAACAAUUACGUGUAAACCUAUUAUGUACUUUGUCACUAGUUAUAAGAAAUUCGUGUAUUGUUGAAGUCACGAUUAGCCUGUUUAUAUUCUACUUGGUAUGUGUACAUAGUGUCUCCUUUUUUCUAUAUAUACUUUGCCAGAUUUUGUACUUCUCUGCUAUCCGUAUUGUCAUUUCAGAAGUGCGAAAUAAAUUGUAGCUUGAAUUUGUCUUCAUGUAAUAAAAAUUAAUGAUUCAAAUAAAGUC
This 6724-nucleotide long non-coding RNA is filed under the name Limulus polyphemus (Atlantic horseshoe crab). Its description in RNAcentral is "uncharacterized LOC111085323". The record is from RNAcentral. Lineage: Eukaryota; Metazoa; Arthropoda; Merostomata; Xiphosura; Limulidae.